Sander lucioperca (pikeperch) is the source of this 194-nucleotide long non-coding RNA. RefSeq lists it as uncharacterized. The transcript is spliced from 3 exons. The record is from RefSeq and is a predicted model, not a curated record. NCBI's taxonomy places the organism in Eukaryota, Metazoa, Chordata, Actinopteri, Perciformes, Percidae.
UGUUUGGAGCAGUUUGUGAACAGUGUUUUCUGUUGGAGAUGGUAAGUCCCUUUGGAGGGGGACUUUGGGCUUUUUCACUUUGUAAACCUAUAACAUGCACAAAAAAGAUAUAUAACACAAUAAAGGAAAUGGAAAAAGCUAAAAAGCAUAAUAUUAGCACUUUAAAAGAAAUAUAGGCUGUGUUAGAGUGAUGC